UGGGGAAUAUUGCACAAUGGAGGGAACUCUGAUGCAGCGACGCCGCGUGAACGAAGAAGGCUUUCGAGUCGUAAAGUUCUUUUAUAUGGGAAGAUAAUGACGGUACCAUAAGAAAAAGCCCCGGCUAACUACGUGCCAGCAGCCGCGGUAAUACGUAGGGGGCUAGCGUUGUCCGGAAUCACUAGGCGUAAAGGGUUCGCAGGCGGAAAUGCAAGUCAGGUGUAAAAGGCAGUAGCUUAACUACUGUAAGCAUUUGAAACUGCAUAUCUUGAGAAGAGUAGAGGUAAGUGGAAUUUUUAGUGUAGCGGUGAAAUGCGUAGAUAUUAAAAAGAAUACCGGUGGCGAAGGCGACUUACUGGGCUCAUUCUGACGCUGAGGAACGAAAGCGUGGGUAGCAAACAGG
Molecule: ribosomal RNA, 403 nt
Filed under: Fusobacteriota bacterium
Lineage: Bacteria; Fusobacteriati; Fusobacteriota
Description: Fusobacteria bacterium partial 16S ribosomal RNA
Rfam family: Bacterial small subunit ribosomal RNA
Source: RNAcentral